RNAcentral lists this ribosomal RNA (150 nucleotides) under Pseudomonas sp. FBT4-23. RNAcentral describes it as "partial 16S ribosomal RNA". It matches the Rfam family "Bacterial small subunit ribosomal RNA", at positions 345 to 486 of the family's 1533-position model. Lineage: Bacteria; Pseudomonadati; Pseudomonadota; Gammaproteobacteria; Pseudomonadales; Pseudomonadaceae. The record is from RNAcentral.
GAGGCAGCAGUGGGGAAUAUUGGACAAUGGGCGAAAGCCUUGAUCCAGCCAUGCCGCGUGUGUGAAGAAGGUCUUCGGAUUGUAAAGCACUUUAAGUUGGGAGGAAGGGCAGUAAAUUAAUACUUUGCUGUUUUGACGUUACCGACAGAA